RNAcentral lists this ribosomal RNA (135 nucleotides) under uncultured archaeon. RNAcentral describes it as "partial 16S ribosomal RNA". It matches the Rfam family "Archaeal small subunit ribosomal RNA", at positions 313 to 464 of the family's 1478-position model. The record is from RNAcentral.
AUACGGGGUUACGGGGUGCAGCAGGCGCGAAACCUCCGCAAUGUGAGAAAUCGCGACGGGGGGAUCCCAAGUGCUAUUCUUAACGGGAUGGCUUUUCUUUAGUUAAAGAGCUUUGAAUAAGAGCGACGUCCGGCA